RNAcentral lists this transfer RNA (58 nucleotides) under Heteronotia binoei (common prickly gecko). RNAcentral's name for it is "tRNA-Ser". Lineage: Eukaryota; Metazoa; Chordata; Lepidosauria; Squamata; Gekkonidae. The record is from RNAcentral.
GAGGUGGUCACAGCGAACUGCUAACUCACACUACCGGGCUAAACCCCCGGCCACCUCC